Molecule: ribosomal RNA, 236 nt
Filed under: uncultured bacterium
Lineage: Bacteria
Description: partial 16S ribosomal RNA
Rfam family: Bacterial small subunit ribosomal RNA
Source: RNAcentral
GGUCAUGGCUCAGGAUGAACGCUAGCGGCAGGCUUAACACAUGCAAGUCGAGGGGCAGCAUAAUGGAUAGCAAUAUCUAUGGUGGCGACCGGCGCACGGGUGCGUAACGCGUAUGCAACCUACCUUUAACAGGGGGAUAACACUGAGAAAUUGGUACUAAUACCCCAUAACAUCAUGAAAGGCAUCUUUUAUGGUUGAAAAUUCCGAUGGUUAGAGAUGGGCAUGCGUUGUAUUAG